GGGGCGAACACAAGGGAGGACUGAUUAGAGUGAAACAAAUGUGCAUUUAUAGCCCACUUUUACAUGGUUCAUGGAAUACACUGGAAUAGAUCCACUUGGAGACAUAAUACUUUAAAAACAGCUCAGUAAACACUGAUGAGAGAAAUUUCACUUUGGCAUAAUAAGUACUCCUCGAUAUGUAAUACUACCUUUGCAUCAUUUUAAUUAAAGAUUUAUUAUAUAGUUUAAAUUUCAAGACUCCACCGGAGAGAUCCAUAAGAAAGCACAGAAUUUUAUUUGCGGACUAACUGCAGUAUUAUAUAUUAUAGUGCUGUAUUGCUCCAUUACUCUAUCUCUGACUAAACUAGAGAUGGUAAUAGUUUUGCUUAGGAUCUCCCGCUAGAGUUCUGCCUUGUACUCUGUAACGUUAGUUGGAUGCUAUGCAGAAAGCCUCGCUGGAUAAACAUUUUGUUACCAAAACUAUUAAAAUCAACACUUAUUCUGUUUUGGGUAGCGUUAGCGUAUCACAUACAAACGAAAAACGGACUUUAAAUCUAUAUGGGGAUGAAAUUCCCUUGUUAAAAUAAUUAAGCCUGGUUUAGGAAAAGCAUUCUCUCAAUAACGUUGCUGUAUUGUUACGAUACUUUCAGUUCAUUAAAGCUGAUUGUCGAAAACCAACCACCGCUAUAUAUACUGUCGCCUAGCAACCAUUAGGACUUCACGCUAAACAAAAUUUACUAAUACUAAUAAUGUUACUAACCUAACGUUCCAUGUGUUUUAUGAAAUCUGCUGUCGAUUAAAUGAAGACAGCCUGCUGGCUUGAAAUUUCUCACUGCCCUGCAGAGCUGUGCUGUUUGGACAAGAGAGGAGGCUUCCCACCAAACUGCUCAUUAACAGGCUUCAGGGAGGUCGUGACCUAGAAAGAAGGAGAGUGACUCCACACAAAUUUGGACACCAGCAGCAGCUCUUUGCACAAAAGUUUGUCUUCUCAUCCAAAUGCUCUGCUCUCGACAGCAGUGCCCUGGAAAAACAAGGAAUGGCACACUUGUUUACUCCUCCUCAUCUGUGUGUG
Molecule: long non-coding RNA, 1051 nt
Organism: Thunnus maccoyii (southern bluefin tuna)
Lineage: Eukaryota; Metazoa; Chordata; Actinopteri; Scombriformes; Scombridae
Exons: 3
Source: RefSeq, a predicted model, not a curated record